CGGACGGGUGAGUAACACGUGGAUAACCUACCUAUAAGACUGGGAUAACUUCGGGAAACCGGAGCUAAUACCGGAUGAUAUUUUGAACCGCAUGGUUCAAAAGUGAAAGACGGUCUUGCUGUCACUUAUAGAUGGAUCCGCGCUGCAUUAGCUAGUUGGUAAGGUAACGGCUUACCAAGGCAACGAUGCAUAGCCGACCUGAGAGGGUGAUCGGCCACACUGGAACUGAGACACGGUCCAG
This 241-nucleotide ribosomal RNA is filed under the name uncultured Staphylococcus sp. RNAcentral's name for it is "partial 16S ribosomal RNA". It matches the Rfam family "Bacterial small subunit ribosomal RNA", at positions 99 to 334 of the family's 1533-position model. Lineage: Bacteria; Bacillati; Bacillota; Bacilli; Caryophanales; Staphylococcaceae. The record is from RNAcentral.